Molecule: ribosomal RNA, 274 nt
Filed under: uncultured bacterium
Lineage: Bacteria
Description: partial 16S ribosomal RNA
Rfam family: Bacterial small subunit ribosomal RNA
Source: RNAcentral
AUACGGAGGGUGCAAGCGUUAUUCGGAAUCACUGGGCGUAAAGGACGCGUAGGCGGGUUGGCAAGUCAGAUGUGAAAUCCUACAGCUUUACUGUAGAACUGCAUUUGAAACUGCUAACCUAGAGUAUGGGAGGGGGAGAUGGAAUUAGUGGUGUAGGGGUAAAAUCCGUAGAUAUCACUAGGAAUACCGAAAGCGAAGGCGAUCUCCUGGAACAUAACUGACGCUAAGGCGUGAAAGCGUGGGGAGCAAACAGGAUUAGAUACCCUAGUAGUCC